Sapajus apella (tufted capuchin) is the source of this 103-nucleotide long non-coding RNA. RefSeq lists it as uncharacterized. The transcript is spliced from 3 exons. The record is from RefSeq and is a predicted model, not a curated record. Lineage: Eukaryota; Metazoa; Chordata; Mammalia; Primates; Cebidae.
GCUGGGAUUACAGGGGCUUUUGAGCGUCUUCCUGGGGUAUUUCUUUCUGGCAUUUCCCAUUGUACAUGCUAUUUUUGUAGUCAGAAAGUAGUGUUUUAAAAUG